ACAUGGAGAGCUUUCUGUGAAGCCGGGCUGUAAGGCAUCCGGUGGAGAGAUCAGAAGCGAGAAUGUUGACAUGAGUAGCGACAAACAGGGUGAGAAACCCUGUCGCCGAAAGUCCAAGGGUUCCUGCUUAAAGCUAAUCUGAGCAGGGUAAGCCGGCCCCUAAGGCGAGGCCGAAAGGCGUAGUCGAUGGGAACCAGGUUAAUAUUCCUGGGCCAGUGGGAUGUGACGGAUCGCAGAUGUAGUUUGCCCUUAUCGGAUUGGGUGAGCUGCUGAGCGGUUCCAGGAAAUAGCCCCACAUCAGACCGUACCCUAAACCGACACAGGUGGACUGGUAGAGUAUUCCAAGGCGCUUGAGAGAACCACGUUAAAGGAACUCGGCAAAAUGCCUCCGUAAGUUCGCGAGAAGGAGGCCCCAUAUGUACGCAAGUAUGUGUGGGGGGCACAAACUAGGGGGUGGCGACUGUUUACUUAAAACACAGGGCUGUGCGAAGCCGUAAGGCGACGUAUACAGUCUGACGCCUGCCCGGUGCUGGAAGAUUAAGAGGAGGGGUGCAAGCUCUGAAUUGAAGUCCCAGUAAACGGCGGCCGUAACUAUAACGGUCCUAAGGUAGCGAAAUUCCUUGUCGGGUAAGUUCCGACCUGCACGAAUGGCGUAACGAUCUCCCCGCUGUCUCUAACGUGGACUCAGCGAAAUUGAACUGUGUGUCAAGAUGCACACUACCCGCGGUUAGACGGAAAGACCCCAUGAACCUUUACUCCAGCUUUGCACUGGUAUCAGGAUUGUGAUGUGCAGGAUAGGUGGUAGGCAUUGAAGCGGGGACGCCAGUCUUCGUGGAGCCUCCCUUGAGAUACCACCCUUCGCCAUCUUGAUAUCUAACCGCGGCCCGUUAUCCGGGUCCGGGACCCUGCAUGGUGGGGAGUUUGACUGGGGCGGUCGCCUCCCAAACAGUAACGGAGGCGCGCGAUGGUUGGCUCAGACCGGUCGGAAAUCGGUCGUUGAGUGCAAUGGCAGAAGCCAGCCUGACUGCAAGACUGACAAGUCGAGCAGAGGCGAAAGUCGGUCAUAGUGAUCCGGUGGUCCCAAGUGGGAGGGCCAUCGCUCAACGGAUAAAAGGUACUCUGGGGAUAACAGGCUGAUGAUGCCCAAGAGUCCAUAUCGACGGCAUCGUUUGGCACCUCGAUGUCGGCUCAUCUCAUCCUGGGGCUGGAGCAGGUCCCAAGGGUAUGGCUGUUCGCCAUUUAAAGAGGUACGUGAGCUGGGUUUAGAACGUCGUGAGACAGUUCGGUCCCUAUCUGCCGUGGGUGCAGGAGACUUGAGAAGAGUUGACCCUAGUACGAGAGGACCGGGUUGAACGAACCACUGGUGGACCAGUUAUCGUGCCAACGGUAGUGCUGGGUAGCUAUGUUCGGACAGGAUAACCGCUGAAGGCAUCUAAGCGGGAAGCCCCCUUCAAAACAAGGUCUCCCUUGAGGGCCGUGGAAGACGACCACGUCGAUAGGCCAGAGGUGUAAGUGCAGCAAUGCAUUCAGCUGACUGGUACUAAUUGCCCGAUUGGCUUGAUCUG
Molecule: ribosomal RNA, 1565 nt
Filed under: metagenome
Description: bacterial LSU rRNA
Rfam family: Bacterial large subunit ribosomal RNA
Source: RNAcentral